GACGAACGCUGGCGGCGUGCUUAACACAUGCAAGUCGAACGCUGAAGCUCAGCUUUUGUUGGGUGGAUGAGUGGCGAACGGGUGAGUAACACGUGAGUAACCUGCCCUCUUCUUUGGGAUAACGCCCGGAAACGGGUGCUAAUACUGGAUAUUCACUUGCCUUCGCAUGGGGGUUGGUGGAAAGGUUUGUUCUGGUGGGGGAUGGGCUCGCGGCCUAUCAGCUUGUUGGUGGGGUGAUGGCCUACCAAGGCUUUGACGGGUAGCCGGCCUGAGAGGGUGACCGGUCACAUUGGGACUGAGAUACGGCCCAGACUCCUACGGGAGGCAGCAGUGGGGAAUAUUGCACAAUGGGCGCAAGCCUGAUGCAGCGACGCCGCGUGAGGGAUGGAGGCCUUCGGGUUGUAAACCUCUUUCGCUCAUGGUCAAGCCGCGACGUGGGUUGUGGUGAGGGUAGUGGGUAAAGAAGCGCCGGCUAACUACGUGCCAGCAGCCGCGGUAAUACGUAGGGCGCGAGCGUUGUCCGGAAUUAUUGGGCGUAAAGGGCUUGUAGGCGGUUGGUCGCGUCUGCCGUGAAAUUCUCUGGCUUAACUGGGGGCGUGCGGUGGGUACGGGCUGACUUGAGUGCGGUAGGGGAGACUGGAACUCCUGGUGUAGCGGUGGAAUGCGCAGAUAUCAGGAAGAACACCGGUGGCGAAGGCGGGUCUCUGGGCCGUUACUGACGCUGAGGAGCGAAAGCGUGGGGGAGCGAACAGG
RNAcentral lists this ribosomal RNA (753 nucleotides) under uncultured Actinomyces sp. RNAcentral describes it as "bacterial SSU rRNA". It matches the Rfam family "Bacterial small subunit ribosomal RNA", at positions 28 to 776 of the family's 1533-position model. The record is from RNAcentral. Lineage: Bacteria; Bacillati; Actinomycetota; Actinomycetes; Actinomycetales; Actinomycetaceae.